Molecule: ribosomal RNA, 465 nt
Filed under: uncultured bacterium
Lineage: Bacteria
Description: partial 16S ribosomal RNA
Rfam family: Bacterial small subunit ribosomal RNA
Source: RNAcentral
CCUACGGGUGGCAGCAGUAGGGAAUCUUCCACAAUGGGCGUAAGCCUGAUGGAGCAACGCCGCGUGGGUGAAGAAGGUCUUCGGAUCGUAAAACCCUGUUGUUAGAGAAGAAAGUGCGUGAGAGUACCUGUUCACGUUUCGACGGUAUCUAACCAGAACGCCCCGGCUAACUACGUGCCAGCAGCCGCGGUAAUACGUAGGUGGCAAGCGUUAUCCGGAUUUAUUGGGCGUAAAGGGAACGCAGGCGGUCUUUUAAGUCUUAUGUGAAAGCCUUCGGCUUAACCGGAGUAGUGCAUUGGAAACUGGGAGACUGGAGUGCAGAAGAGGAGAGUGGAAAUCCAUGUGUAGCGGUGAAAUGCGUAGAUAUAUGGAAGAACACCAGUGGCGAAAGCGGCUCUCUGGGCUGUAACUGACGCUGAGGUUCGAAAGCGUGGGUAGCAAACAGGAUUAGAUACCCGUGUAGUC